GUGAAUCAUCGAAUCUUUGAACGCAACUUGCGCCUCUCUGAGGCAUGUCUGUUUGAGUGCCGCAUAACCUUGUGCAGCAAUGCGUAUUGACGGCUGUCUCUGGACUCUGUCUAAACGUAGCCAGUUGUCGUGGGUGCAUCCAGCCCGAGUGCUAAGCAUUCUUGGUCUGGCCGCCGCUGCGAUCAGCAAUCUACUACUAUUUUGGCCUCAAAUCAGGCAGGACUACCCGCUGAACUUAAGCAUAUCAAUAAGCGGAGGA
RNAcentral lists this unclassified non-coding RNA (259 nucleotides) under Rozellomycota sp. Its description in RNAcentral is "Cryptomycota sp. partial contains 5.8S ribosomal RNA, internal transcribed spacer 2, and large subunit ribosomal RNA". The stretch from base 203 to 259 matches the Rfam family "Eukaryotic large subunit ribosomal RNA", at positions 1 to 57 of the family's 3401-position model. The record is from RNAcentral. Lineage: Eukaryota; Fungi; Rozellomycota.